AUGGUGGGCUUGGCCAAGAUCGCCAUGGAAUGGCUCCAAGAGCCACUGAGCUGGCUUUUCGUUGCCUCGUUCAUCUUCGCGGUGCUGCAGCGGCAGCGGCGGCGUGGCAAGGCCAAGGCGCCGCCGCUGCCUCCGGGGCCGUACCCGCUGCCGAUCGUCGGCAACAUGUUCAUGAUGGACCAGCUGACCCACCGGGGCCUCGCGGCUCUGGCAAAGCAGUACGGCGGCAUUCUCAACCUCCGCCUCGGCCAGGUCCACGCCGUCGUCCUGUCGACGCCGGAGUACGCCCGGGAGGUGCUGCAGGCGCAGGACGUCGCCUUCUCGAACCGGCCGGCUACCGUCGCCGCCAUCUACCUCACCUACGACCGCGCCGACAUGGCGUUCGCGAACUACGGGCCCUUCUGGCGCCAGAUGCGCAAGCUGUGCGUGAUGAAGCUCUUCAGCCGGCGCCGUGCGGGGACCUGGCUCGCCGUGCGCGACGAGUCCGCGGCGCUCGUCCGUGCCGUGGCCCGGCGGAGCGGCGAGUGCGUGAACCUCGGCGAGCUCAUCUUCAACCUCACCAAGAACGUCACCUUCCGCGCCGCGUUCGGCGCCGACGCCGCCGGCGACGCCGGGAAACGGGACGAGUUCAUCGCCAUCAUGCAGGAGUUCUCCCAGCUCUUCGGCGGGUCCAGCAUCGGCGACUUUAUCCCGUGGCUCGGCUGGGCGGACCAGGGCCUCAACGUGCGCGCCCGCGCCGCGCGCGCCGCCCUGGACGAGUUCAUCGACAAGAUCAUCGACGAGCACAUGAAGAGAGGCAAGAACCCCGACGAUGUGGACGCCGACAUGGUGGACGACAUGCUCGCGUUCCUCCCUGAGGCGAAGCCGAAGAAGGCCGCCGGCGACGACCUGCAGAACUCGCUCCGCCUCACUCGUGAAAACAUCAAGGCCAUGAUCAUGGACGUGAUGUUUGGUGGGACGGAGACGGUGGCAUCAGGGAUCGAGUGGGCAAUGACGGAGAUGAUGCACAGCCCCGACGACCUCCGUCGGCUGCAGCAGGAGCUCACCGACAUGGUGGGUCUCGACCGAAACGUGGACGAGUCGGACCUCGACAAGCUCCCCUUCCUCAAGUGCGUAAUUAAGGAGACACUCCGGCUACACCCACCCAUCCCGAUUCUCCACCACGAGAACGCCGAGGACUGCGUCAUCAGUGGCUAUUUGGUGCCCCAGGGCUCCAGUGUCAUGAUCAAUGUAUUCGCCAUUGGCCGCGACGCCAAGGUGUGGAAGGACGCCGACACAUUCCGACCGUCGAGGUUUAUGACAAGGGAAGGGGAGGCCGCAAGGCUUGACUUCAGGGGCAACUGCUUUGAGUUCUUGCCGUUCGGGUCCGGCCGCCGCUCGUGCCCCGGAAUGGCGCUUGGCAUCUACUCACUGGAAUUUGCUGUCGCACAGCUCGCCCACGGGUUUAGCUGGGCGCUACCCAAUGGCAUGAAGCCGCCGGAGCUCGACAUGACCGACAUUUUCGGCCUCACUGCGCCGCGCGCCACCAGGCUCUGCGCCGUGCCCACGCCCCGACUUACUUACCCUUUGGUCUCCGAUGUCGGUGCCACGCACAAGGUGUGA
RNAcentral lists this ribosomal RNA (1602 nucleotides) under Triticum aestivum (bread wheat). Its description in RNAcentral is "partial small subunit ribosomal RNA". Lineage: Eukaryota; Viridiplantae; Streptophyta; Magnoliopsida; Poales; Poaceae. The record is from RNAcentral.